CAGAAAUAAUAGCUUUUGUCUACCAAAGCUGCAGAGUCCUGUUGCCAGGCAACUCAGUCCUGAGGCAACAAAACAGAGAGGAACGGGUGUGUGGGAGGACCAAGCCUGAGUGCAAGAGCUGCUGCUUGUGCUGCUGAACUUUCCAGCUGGAGAUGCAUGUUAUGAAGAGCAAUAAGAGCUGUAGAAUGGGUACUGUAACGUCUUUACAAACAAGUUUUUGAAGUAAGAUGCUUCUAGCUCAGGAGAACAUUGAAGGCACAUUGAAAUCCUCCUGAAAACUCUAAGCCAGUUCUUAACUGCUCUUUGAAAUCAAGGCUGAGGUGAGUCUAAUUUUCAUGCAUCCUUUCUGAAAUCCCUCUCUUCCUUAUUCUUGCAAAUGAGCUGUCCUGCAGUAAAGUUGGUGGAAUGAUAAUUUUCAAGCCAAAGUUGGAGAGAAUUUGUUAGAAACAGGAAUUUGGAGUUCAGAAUCUCUGCCAGAGAUCUGAUGCAACGAGCGAUAUUCAUCCAACAGGGAAACUGUGCUAUGCAGAAUGUGUCUAGCUGAAUUUUACUCACAGCAAAGUGCUCUUGGAUCAGUUCCAAGGCAAUAAUUAUUGGAUACUGGG
This 605-nucleotide long non-coding RNA is filed under the name Coturnix japonica (Japanese quail). RNAcentral's name for it is "lncRNA (ENSCJPG00005007139.1)". The record is from RNAcentral. Lineage: Eukaryota; Metazoa; Chordata; Aves; Galliformes; Phasianidae.